GACGAACGCUGGCGGCGUGCCUAAUACAUGCAAGUCGAACGAACUCUGGUAUUGAUUGGUGCUUGCAUCAUGAUUUACAUUUGAGUGAGUGGCGAACUGGUGAGUAACACGUGGGAAACCUGCCCAGAAGCGGGGGAUAACACCUGGAAACAGAUGCUAAUACCGCAUAACAACUUGGACCGCAUGGUCCGAGUUUGAAAGAUGGCUUCGGCUAUCACUUUUGGAUGGUCCCGCGGCGUAUUAGCUAGAUGGUGGGGUAACGGCUCACCAUGGCAAUGAUACGUAGCCGACCUGAGAGGGUAAUCGGCCACAUUGGGACUGAGACACGGCCCAAACUCCUACGGGAGGCAGCAGUAGGGAAUCUUCCACAAUGGACGAAAGUCUGAUGGAGCAACGCCGCGUGAGUGAAGAAGGGUUUCGGCUCGUAAAACUCUGUUGUUAAAGAAGAACAUAUCUGAGAGUAACUGUUCAGGUAUUGACGGUAUUUAACCAGAAAGCCACGGCUAACUACGUGCCAGCAGCCGCGGUAAUACGUAGGUGGCAAGCGUUGUCCGGAUUUAUUGGGCGUAAAGCGAGCGCAGGCGGUUUUUUAAGUCUGAUGUGAAAGCCUUCGGCUCAACCGAAGAAGUGCAUCGGAAACUGGGAAACUUGAGUGCAGAAGAGGACAGUGGAACUCCAUGUGUAGCGGUGAAAUGCGUAGAUAUAUGGAAGAACACCAGUGGCGAAGGCGGCUGUCUGGUCUGUAACUGACGCUGAGGCUCGAAAGUAUGGGUAGCAAACAGGAUUAGAUACCCUGGUAGUCCAUACCGUAAACGAUGAAUGCUAAGUGUUGGAGGGUUUCCGCCCUUCAGUGCUGCAGCUAACGCAUUAAGCAUUCCGCCUGGGGAGUACGGCCGCAAGGCUGAAACUCAAAGGAAUUGACGGGGGCCCGCACAAGCGGUGGAGCAUGUGGUUUAAUUCGAAGCUACGCGAAGAACCUUACCAGGUCUUGACAUACUAUGCAAAUCUAAGAGAUUAGACGUUCCCUUCGGGGACAUGGAUACAGGUGGUGCAUGGUUGUCGUCAGCUCGUGUCGUGAGAUGUUGGGUUAAGUCCCGCAACGAGCGCAACCCUUAUUAUCAGUUGCCAGCAUUAAGUUGGGCACUCUGGUGAGACUGCCGGUGACAAACCGGAGGAAGGUGGGGAUGACGUCAAAUCAUCAUGCCCCUUAUGACCUGGGCUACACACGUGCUACAAUGGAUGGUACAACGAGUUGCGAACUCGCGAGAGUAAGCUAAUCUCUUAAAGCCAUUCUCAGUUCGGAUUGUAGGCUGCAACUCGCCUACAUGAAGUCGGAAUCGCUAGUGAUCGCGGAUCAGCAUGCCGCGGUGAAUACGUUCCCGGGCCUUGUACACACCGCCCGUCACACCAUGAGAGUUUGUAACACCCAAAGUCGGUGGGGUAACCUUUUAGGAACCAGCCGCCUAAGGUGGGACAGAUGAUUAGGGUG
This 1489-nucleotide ribosomal RNA is filed under the name Lactiplantibacillus plantarum. RNAcentral describes it as "bacterial SSU rRNA". It matches the Rfam family "Bacterial small subunit ribosomal RNA". The record is from RNAcentral. Lineage: Bacteria; Bacillati; Bacillota; Bacilli; Lactobacillales; Lactobacillaceae.